GACGAACGCUGGCGGCGUGCCUAACACAUGCAAGUCGUGCGAGAAAGUUCCUUCGGGAGCGAGUAAAGCGGCGCACGGGUGAGUAACACGUAGGUAACCUGCCCCCCAGUCUGGAACAACUAGAGGAAACUCUAGCUAAUGCCGGAUGAGACCACGAUCCCCUUCGGGGGUUGCGGCCAAAGAUGGCCUCUACUUGUAAGCUAUCGCUGAGGGAUGGGCCUGCGGGCCAUUAGCUUGUUGGUGAGGUAACGGCUCACCAAGGCUGUGAUGGCUAGCUGGUCUGAGAGGAUGACCAGCCACACUGGGACUGAGACACGGCCCAGACUCCUACGGGAGGCAGCAGUGGGGAAUAUUGCGCAAUGGGCGAAAGCCUGACGCAGCGACGCCGCGUGGGUGAUGAAGGCC
Molecule: ribosomal RNA, 405 nt
Filed under: uncultured bacterium
Lineage: Bacteria
Description: bacterial SSU rRNA
Rfam family: Bacterial small subunit ribosomal RNA
Source: RNAcentral